This 454-nucleotide unclassified non-coding RNA is filed under the name Hevea brasiliensis (rubber tree). The record is from RNAcentral. Lineage: Eukaryota; Viridiplantae; Streptophyta; Magnoliopsida; Malpighiales; Euphorbiaceae.
ACAUUCCAAGCCUUUUGAUCCAAAGUUCUGGAUCAAAUGUUUGAAAUAAUUCUCCAAGGAACUGACAUAUAUUGCAACUACAACACCAUGUUACUUCAGACUUCACUAGAUUAGGCUAUCAAUUGCAUUCAGAAGUCUCACAGUGUCUAAAGCUAUGUUUAUUUUGUGGGAAACAACUUUCUUGCAGAAAAUAUUUUCUGGCAUUUUGAAUACACUGGAAAAAAUUAUUUUUCUUUCAAUAAAUAAUACUAUUUUUGGACCUACGAAGGCUUCAUGUUCUUCUGUUCAUAAUAAAUAGGAUAGAACAUGAUUUGAAAGAAGGUAAAUUGGGGUGUUGUUGGCAAUUGGCCACUAGCACCAGUAGUGGGAGAUAGCUGGAGAUGAUUAUUUGUGGAUUGAUGCAUAUUUGUUUAUAUAGUUUCCUUAUAAGCUAAUUUCCUUUUCAUGAAUUAUA